CUCUGUUUUGACAGGCAGGGACCGGCCUUUCCAGAGAACAGCUCUCUAGAUAGUGAGGAACAACAAGUGAAAGCUAUUUUCUGAUGUUUUCUUGUUGCUGCUGGACGCUUUGUUCGACCACCCAGAAACUCCAACACUCUCCAAUGUUAUCUGAGGAGAGGAAGAAACACUGGACUUGAACUGCUCAGCACAUCUGCAUGUUUCAUUACACGUUUACUUCAUCUCCUUCUUUUGCUCCCGAACCAUUUUGAUGAUUUGCAUCAAAUACUUUAAUACGUGUUUUUAUUUGUGCAAGCUCGGUGUUUCCAAUGUUCUACCUGGAGCUGGGCCAUCAUUACAACCCUGUGUUACAGCCGUGUGCCAAAGCAUUGCUAUUCACUUCAGUUUCUCAUGAACUGCUCUCAGCUGCUAGAAGGAGCUCCUGAAGAGCUGGCGACAAAGGAACUGUAAUCCUUUUCUUUACUCCACGUAUAUUAUUAGCUGAACAAUGAGAAUAUUUCAUGCUAAUACUUUUCUUUACACUUCAAUGUGGGAUGAUUAAUUACUGUGUGGAGUAACUGAAAGAAAAAAAAAGGCCUGUGUCAAAAAAAAGGAAAUGUUUAAGGAUCAUACCAUCAUCAGUUUCUUUUUCCAUAUAACUAGACACAAUUAUCUUUAGUCUGCAAAAUAUUCUGCUGCACUGAAUUACAUUUUACAGAGUCAGACAGACACACACACACACAAACACACACACAGACGGAAAGAAUAGAGCUUUAAGAGCCCAUUACUCAGGCUGUGAACAUUGGGCAUCCUCUCCCCUCUGCUCACCAGGGACCAACACUGAUGGAGUGAAGACUGCCUCCCUGCCUCUGCUAUGAAACCUCACACACCACAUGGAGUGUGUGUCGCAGUGUUCCUGUAUGUGCAUGCGCUAACGCCUGCUAACAAUCCUUUAUUUGCGUAUGUGUGCUUUGACACGAUGUUUGAGGGAACCAGCAUAUUCACUCAUUCAUGUUCGACUCCCCCCGUGAGCGUCACACCGCCGACCCACCCUGAGCUUUGACGCUGUAGGACCCACCAGGACCAAUUUGAAAGAGGGAAGUUCUAUUUAGCGAAAUGAGGCCGACAGAUGCAACUCAUCGCCGUCUUGUGGACAAAAUAAGUCAAACAAAUUUUUUUUUUUUUAAAGUGAUUAUCACCGGACCAGCUGUGGACUGUUUGCAAUAAAAUGAGAAAGGUGUAAUUUC
Pseudoliparis swirei is the source of this 1226-nucleotide long non-coding RNA. RefSeq lists it as uncharacterized. The transcript is spliced from 2 exons. The record is from RefSeq and is a predicted model, not a curated record. Lineage: Eukaryota; Metazoa; Chordata; Actinopteri; Perciformes; Liparidae.